RNAcentral lists this ribosomal RNA (510 nucleotides) under uncultured bacterium. Its description in RNAcentral is "bacterial SSU rRNA". It matches the Rfam family "Bacterial small subunit ribosomal RNA", at positions 28 to 536 of the family's 1533-position model. The record is from RNAcentral.
GAUGAACGCUAGCGGGAGGCUUAACACAUGCAAGUCGAGGGGCAGCAUAGGGUAGCAAUACUCUGAUGGCGACCGGCGCACGGGUGAGUAACGCGUAUGCAACCUAUCCUGUACUGGAAGAUAACCCGGAGAAAUUCGGACUAAUAUUCCAUAAUGAUAUUGAGAGGCAUCUUUUAAUAUUUAAAGUUACGACGGUACGGGCUGGGCAUGCGUAACAUUAGCUAGUUGGUAGGGUAACGGCCUACCAAGGCCACGAUGUUUAGGGGUCCUGAGAGGGUGAUCCCCCACACUGGUACUGAGACACGGACCAGACUCCUACGGGAGGCAGCAGUGAGGAAUAUUGGUCAAUGGGCGGAAGCCUGAACCAGCCAUGCCGCGUGCAGGAUGACGGCCCUACGGGUUGUAAACUGCUUUUCCCCGGGGCGAAUAACCCCCUCGCGAGGGGAGUGCCGGUACCGGGGAAUAAGGAUCGGCUAACUCCGUGCCAGCAGCCGCGGUAACUAGUCUACG